RNAcentral lists this long non-coding RNA (214 nucleotides) under Panax ginseng (ginseng). RNAcentral's name for it is "long non-coding RNA (PGIN_LNC003375)". The record is from RNAcentral. Lineage: Eukaryota; Viridiplantae; Streptophyta; Magnoliopsida; Apiales; Araliaceae.
GUGAGUGCAGAGCAAAUUUAGCAUGGCAUCCUCGCCGUUUUCUCUUGCAAAAUGGGCACCCCAAGCCCACUAUUUAUAGACGAUUUAGCUACAGGUGUACUUGCGGCAGAGCCGCAGGUGUACCAGAGGCAACCCGGGUAGGCCCGGGUUUCUCGGGUCGGGUUGUCUCGUAGUACGUGCACUUGGGCAUUGUAAUGUCCACUCGAACUUUAAG